GAUGAACGCUGGCGGCGUGCCUAAUACAUGCAAGUCGAGCGAACAGACGAGGAGCUUGCUCCUCUGACGUUAGCGGCGGACGGGUGAGUAACACGUGGAUAACCUACCUAUAAGACUGGGAUAACUUCGGGAAACCGGAGCUAAUACCGGAUAAUAUAUUGAACCGCAUGGUUCAAUAGUGAAAGACGGCUUUGCUGUCACUUAUAGAUGGAUCCGCGCCGCAUUAGCUAGUUGGUAAGGUAACGGCUUACCAAGGCAACGAUGCGUAGCCGACCUGAGAGGGUGAUCGGCCACACUGGAACUGAGACGCGGUCCAGACUCCUACGGGAGGCAGCAGUAGGGAAUCUUCCGCAAUGGGCGAAAGCCUGACGGAGCAACGCGGCGUGAGUGAUGAAGGUCUUCGGAUCGUAAAUCUCUGUUAUUAGGGAAGAACAAAUGUGUAAGUAACUAUGCACGUCUUGACGGUACCUAAUCAGAAAGCCACGGCUAACUACGUG
This 497-nucleotide ribosomal RNA is filed under the name uncultured bacterium. Its description in RNAcentral is "partial 16S ribosomal RNA". It matches the Rfam family "Bacterial small subunit ribosomal RNA", at positions 28 to 507 of the family's 1533-position model. The record is from RNAcentral.